UCAAUUCAUUCGUUGUAUCGUAGUAAAGGAAAGAAGAAAAGAAUUCACUCAAGUGAAAGGAGCCCGCAUUCCCUCUCUCCUUUCCCACACCCCUAAUAAUAAGAAAGGGGGUGGCCUUGUCCUCUUCCUCAGGUAGGAGAGACUACACCUUUCAAAAGGAUAAACUUAGAAAACAAAGAGAAUCAGAAAGGCCAUCAUUAAUGCGAACAAGGCAAUAGCCUCGAUUAGAGCAAAGCCCAGGAUUGCAUAUCCGAAUAACUGUUUUUCCA
This 269-nucleotide long non-coding RNA is filed under the name Arachis ipaensis. Its description in RNAcentral is "long non-coding RNA (AIPA_LNC002273)". Lineage: Eukaryota; Viridiplantae; Streptophyta; Magnoliopsida; Fabales; Fabaceae. The record is from RNAcentral.